AUGGAAAACCCACCCUCAGGUAAGGAUUAACAAAAGAAGGGUGUGCUUCUAAGUUUUGAAGAUGAAUUCCUGGAAGUCCCACAGGACACUUCUGCUUAAACUUCUCAUCAAGCAUUGGCCAUAAAGGAUUCGCUUAGCUGCAAGGGAAGCGGGCAGGCAGUCUCCGGGUGGGUAGCAAUGUCAGAGCUAAAAACCAAGGUACCAGCUAAGGUCAGCUGGCAGAAGGUCCCAGGGGCUCCGGAAGGGGAGCACCCGGGAACCUGUGCCCUGAACCUGGAUCCGUCUCCAGCCCCCAUUUCUCCUCUCUGUGCCCUGUUACCUCACCAGCAAAACGAAACGGAAAACCCCAGCCCCGGCGACCUCACGGGAUCAUUGCAGAAUGCCUUGCCAGCUGUCAGACACUGAGCACCAUGCACAGUGGGCAUUUUUAAAGUCUAGUUUUAGUUCAUCGGAUGGAGAAUGGAGAGACGUAGACCCCGGUGUCAGGGUCUUGGGGAGCCCCUUCUCUCUGGCCUCCGUUCCUCACUGUUCCCGGGGAGGCUCCUGUGUUGUCUCUUCUAUGAACCAGGUCUUGUCCCCCUGGAGCCUCAAGGGCCCCCAGAGGCAGGUGUGGCUGGAGUCCUCGGUGCCGACAGCUGCGCGGAGCCUGUGACGCUGACAUGGCCGCCUGUCCCCCUCCAGCCCUGCGUGUCGCGGGAGGCAGGGGAGACUGUGCCGUGUUGUCGUACUCAGGACUGCCCGCGCGGGGAUCACGCUUGGGCUUUCUCUGAGGCUAAGUGCCCUGUCGGUGGACGGGAGAAGCGAGCCCUUCGCCAUCUGUGCACUUUGUCGCCGUCACCCAUGGAAGCGGUGGUUUUUAACCCCUGAGGACUCCCCUGGGGCUGCAAGGGAAAACAGACUCCGGGGAGCACCGUGGAGCUGUGCCAGGGUUUCCUGACAUCUGGAAUUGUCCCGCGGAACGUGAUGGGAAUCCAUGUUCCCGUUGCUUCACAGUGCUCACUGAAAGGGACCCCAUUAAGGCCAUCAGCUCAUCACAGACUGCCCCGCCUCUCCCCAGCCCACCGAGAGCCACACACUUGCCCACGCGACGAGACGUGGACCGCAGUGUGGUCUGCGUUCUGGUGUCCAAAAGCAACAGUAACGAGAGCCCGCAGGUCAGGGAGAGGGACCUGUGAGUGACCUCUACGGGCCAGAAGUGGCCCCAGAGGAAAGGGACGCUGCUCUUCUGUGCCCACCGCUGGGCUCACAGGUGCAGGCGCCCCACAAGCUCAUGUGGUGGGGGCUGGAGGAAUCUGGGGGAGAAGGGCCCCCAGGAGUAAGGCCUUUGGUAGGAGAGGCCAGGUUCCGGUGGGGAGACCCAGACCUCGGGCAGCAGGGUCCCGGAUAGCUGCCUCCGUGGUCCUGAGAACCCCCUACCCAAGACCGCCGUGGGGCCUCAGGCUAGGUCAGGCGCCUCUCCUGGGUCCCCGCCGCCCCGGGCAUCCCCUCCAUGACCCCAACUCCAGGGUUCCACGUUCUCGCCCAUCUUCUGAGUCCCUUCCCAGGCUGGGGGCUCCGUGGGCACCCCAGGGCCCCACGUGGACGUGCUCAGGAUCAUGGCUGAGUGAACGAAAGAGGAAGAGAAGGGUUUUUUUCAGAUCUUUGGAGGCUGGGGAUGAGGACCAGGCCUGGAUGGAGGAGGAGGAGACAGAAGGAGGGGGCCUCCUCCUCUGCCCCCCGCAGGCUCCCUCAGCCCCGAGCGGGUGGGCCCCAGCGAGGAAGCCGGCAGACAGCAGCGUCCGGACUGCCGGGAGCCGUGACUCAGCGGCCAUCUGUUAUCUAAUGAGAAAAUGACAAGCCAAUUGGCGUGUUCCCCCUUCUCUUUAAUGUGGCAGAUCGAGAAAUGUGACUUUCCUGAUCUCUGUUUUAAUGAUUCUGACUUGCUCACUCUUAAUUCUCUUAAUCCAGCGGCAGCUAACGCUGUGAUUUGCCCAGGAAUUCCUACGGGGCUUCUUUGGAUUUUGCUUGGGGGGGGGGGUUCUGGGGGGUAGGAGGGUUUUGCCAGAUUUCACCCUUCCUGACUGCCUCUGGAAGGGGCCAGUCCAAUCCCGGAUUCACUGCCUGAAUCACAGAGAAGUGGAGCCUCCCAACGCCCCCCAAACCCUGCCCACUUCAGAGAGGACAGGCCCCCGUGGACGGUGACAAGUGGCCUUGCAGUGGGAUGAAGCCUAAGGCCGCACCAACCAGGCAGGCGGGUCCCUCUCCCUCUCAGGCCUGGGGUCGGGGCUGCAGAAGGAAGGAGCCUGCUGGUCCCUGAGGGCCCCCCUGUGGGCGCGACCCUGAGACUGGACCCUGCAGUCUGGGCUUCUGGGUUUUCUAGUGGUUUGGACAAGCACCACGCUCCGAGCUUUGCGAUCUGACCCUGCCUCCAGCACUCAGCCCUAACCUGA
Molecule: long non-coding RNA, 2429 nt
Organism: Myotis myotis
Lineage: Eukaryota; Metazoa; Chordata; Mammalia; Chiroptera; Vespertilionidae
Exons: 3
Source: RefSeq, a predicted model, not a curated record